UCCGGUUGAUCCUGCCGGACCCCACUGCUAUCGGGAUAGGACUAAGACAUGCUAGUUGAGCGCUUCCAGCCAAUACGGGAGCGCACCACAGCUCAGUAACACGUGGCUAAUCUGCCCUUGGGACCGGAAUACCCCCGGGAAACUGGGGCUAAUUCUCGAUAGGUGAAGAACCUAUGGAAUGAGUCUUCGCCAAAAAGACGUUGCGUUUAUGCUCGUAGACGUCGCCCAAGGAUGAGGCC
This 239-nucleotide ribosomal RNA is filed under the name uncultured crenarchaeote. RNAcentral describes it as "partial 16S ribosomal RNA". It matches the Rfam family "Archaeal small subunit ribosomal RNA", at positions 1 to 216 of the family's 1478-position model. Lineage: Archaea; Thermoproteati; Thermoproteota. The record is from RNAcentral.